RNAcentral lists this ribosomal RNA (524 nucleotides) under Pseudomonas sp. Its description in RNAcentral is "bacterial SSU rRNA". It matches the Rfam family "Bacterial small subunit ribosomal RNA", at positions 66 to 585 of the family's 1533-position model. The record is from RNAcentral. Lineage: Bacteria; Pseudomonadati; Pseudomonadota; Gammaproteobacteria; Pseudomonadales; Pseudomonadaceae.
GCGGAUGACGGGAGCUUGCUCCUUGAUUCAGCGGCGGACGGGUGAGUAAUGCCUAGGAAUCUGCCUGGUAGUGGGGGACAACGUUUCGAAAGGAACGCUAAUACCGCAUACGUCCUACGGGAGAAAGCAGGGGACCUUCGGGCCUUGCGCUAUCAGAUGAGCCUAGGUCGGAUUAGCUAGUUGGUGAGGUAAUGGCUCACCAAGGCGACGAUCCGUAACUGGUCUGAGAGGAUGAUCAGUCACACUGGAACUGAGACACGGUCCAGACUCCUACGGGAGGCAGCAGUGGGGAAUAUUGGACAAUGGGCGAAAGCCUGAUCCAGCCAUGCCGCGUGUGUGAAGAAGGUCUUCGGAUUGUAAAGCACUUUAAGUUGGGAGGAAGGGCAGUAAGCUAAUACCUUGCUGUUUUGACGUUACCGACAGAAUAAGCACCGGCUAACUCUGUGCCAGCAGCCGCGGUAAUACAGAGGGUGCAAGCGUUAAUCGGAAUUACUGGGCGUAAAGCGCGCGUAGGUGGUUCGUUA